AAAGAAGCGAGAAUCGUGACUUAGCAACGAUGUAUGCGCGUCAAACCAGCGUAUGCACUGUGUUCAUUUUGUCAUUUUCUUAUCCAACGUCCCUUUCUCCUUUCUGCGUUUUGUACAACUCCAAUAGCAGGCUAGAGGGCGCGUGGAAUCGUCCUCACAACUCCGAGAUGAGGCCAUGUCGAACAGCGGGUACGCUCGACCAAUCUGAGUCGUCCGUCUCCCUUUACCUUUCUAGAAUGGGGUCAAAAUCUCAUGAAAAGGAUGUUUCCCUUAAUGGGGAAAAUAUUUUGAAUUUGUGGAUCCGAUUUCCUAUCUGAUUCUUCCAACUUUCCCCCCAAUUUCAAAAACCCUAAUUCGCCCCCCAUAUAUUGUAUAUUUCUAUUCACUGUAAAGGGGAAGGGAAAAAGAAGGGAAAUCUGAAAAAAAAAGGUUCGGAAGAUUUUUUGGGGUGUAAGAAAUUUUGAGAAAAAUAUAUCUAGGACGAUUUUAAGCAAAAGUAUACAGCUAAAAUACUCACUAUAUACAUUGAGGAAGUGAGGGGAGAAUAGAAAACAAUUAAUUUCUAUUCCAAGUCCCAUUCUUCCGUUUUGCCAUCCAUGAGCUCAUUUGGGUUUCCAUUCUAGUUCGCUGGUUCAUCGUUGGCGCUCGAGUCAUUUUUUUGGGAGUCUUUCACCCCUGCUUGUCCGUGUCAGUUCACUGCUCAAAAGGAGGAAAUACGAUGUUCAUGUUGGGAGGAAUGUAUUGCGACAAUAUCGACUCGUAUGUAUCAUGUUAUUCGCCAUUAUCUUGUUAGUUUAUACACUUACUGCUGGAAAUUUUAUUUGUCAUGUUAAUCAGUUUUUUUAACCUACGUACCCUCAUAAUCUUUAACUCUUCACAAUUGUUAUUCAUUAAUAAAAUUGGUAGUAUUUUAUCAUCCUAUACAUAUUUUGACUCUCGUGUAAGUUUAUGCCAUAUAUAUUUCGCAUCUUGAUCUCUCCUUCAUACGGUCGACCAAUCAAGUUGGGAUUAGGAUUUUCCCAUCUUUCCUUUAUUCACUAAGCUUACUUACUGCCAUUUCAUGAGUAUUGACUUGUUAUGGUAAAUUUUAAUGGGUUGUAUCCUAGUACUGAAUCACUUGAAUUAAUAUCCUUUUUGGCACUUGAUGCAACAGAGCAUGAUUUCCCCCUUUUUCUUAUUAUUUUUUAUAUUAUUAUAUUUAUUGAAUGACUUGUUACUUAUGUAUUUUUAUUCAUUCUUGCUGCAUGUGAGCGUCAUCAAAGUCUAUCAGAUCUAAAUCUCCUACGCAUUUCGAGUUGUUUAAAACCCAAAAUCCCUUAGUAUAUGUCGGCUUUAUCUUUUAAAGUCGAAUCAAGCUAUCACGCCCCCAUUUUUUCGUACUCUUUUGGAAUUUGGAGUUUAAGGAUUCGCCACCUAACGAAUUAAGAUGCGUUAGGAUACCUAUUUAACCUAACUAUGUCUAGCUAAGGUCAACAAGACAGAGAUCAGGGUAAGAGUUCAAAUUAUCUCGACGGAAAGGUGUUAGGAAUUCCUCAAGGUCCAUAAAUGUGGGUCCAAUCGUAUCUCAUGCAAUCUAUGUGGAAGUUACAAAUAGCAAUUAAAGUCAGUUCAUUUAUAUGCCUGCUAGGUGAUAAGAAAAUUUGAAUAAUUAAAUCUAUCUAUUAUUUUAAUUAAUUAGCUAAGCGUGUAAUGCUAUGUGAUAAUAUAAUAUUAAACAAUAAAGAUAGCAUCCUUAUUUUAAUUAAUUAUUUAGGCAUGCGAGACUAAGUGAUAAAAUAUUAAACAAAUUGAGGAAUAAAUUUAUUAUUUUUAAUUAAUUAUUUAAGCAUGUAAAAAUAAGUGAUAGCAAUAGAUAAAACAUCAAAUAAUAAUUUAAGGAUAAGCGAGAGGAUAGAAAAAGGGACAAAUAAAUAAGCAAAUAAUUUUUUUUAACCUACCCCAAAUAAACAUAAUUAUUAAACAAGUAAAAGGGUAAAAAGGGAAGGGAGACUCAAAUAAGACUUUUUGGAUCAGCACUCGACUUUUUUUUUUGAUAGGCUGCCGUAUAGGGACAGACAAAAUCAAAGUUUGUCUUUCAAGCCUGAGUCGAUGUCAUCAUCUCCGUAGGGCCAACUACCCCUACCCCAUCAGCACAUGCAUUUCGUACCUAAAAGGUGCCUAACGUCCCAACUUAAUUGUCCAAGAGGCAUUGGACUCUUAAAGGGUGGACUUAGACAAAAUAGAAUAUAAGAUCCUCAUAGACUCCAAGUCAAACAAACAAGGCAAACUAGACGGUCAUUUUAGCAAUACAAGUCUCAAUUUGGCCUUUAAAAAUCAAUUAGACAUUCAUGCAAACAACACAUAAUUGUGAAGGUUUUAUGCUAAGUGUGUAAACAUACAAACAGAAAAUUAUAGUAACGACAAUUUAAUUAUGAGAGGGCAAAUAUGAUAACAUGGAUGUAGAUUUUAAUAUUAACUUUAAAGUAAGCAACAAUUAGUGACAUGAUAGAUUUUGUUUUAUUUCCAAGUAGCAAAGGAUAUGAUCCACAUACACAUAUAUUUAAAACAAUAGAGAAUUUAAUUAUUAAUGCAAAAUAUAACUCAGGACAACACAUUUUAUUUAUUUAGGCAGAAAAUUUAUUUUAAGAAUAACAAUAGAUUUAAUGCAGAAAAUUAUUUUAGAAAGAAGCAGUAGCAAAAUAUUAUGAGUACAGAAAAUUAUUUGAAACAAUGUUUAACAUGCAAAAAUUAGUUAAUUGAGAGAAUUUUAUAAUAACAAAUUUAUUUAUUAAUGCAUAAGUUAUGUUUAAGAGAUAGUAAACUUAUUAGAUGCAAUAAAUCAAUAGGAAUUGUUUAUUUUUUUUAAAAAUAAAAAAUAUGCACAACAAAUUUUAUUUUAGUUAUUGAAAUGUUGAAAAUUUACAAGCCUAUUGACAUGAUCUGUAGGCAUUUUAACAUACUAAAAUGACAAAGUAAAGAGACAAAUCAAUUAUGAACAUGCUAAAAAUUAGUUGAACAUAAUUUCUAAGUGAUUUAAUAAUCAACACAUUCACAUAAGACCUAUAUGCAUGUUUUCUAACUCCAAAUGACAUGUGAAUGCAUCAAUUCUAUAGACAUGAUUUAUUCAAUGAGUAACUAAAAUGCACAUAAAAUUAUUUACUUAAGAUUUUAGUGAGUUAGUCAUAACUCAUUAUUUAACACUCCAAAUUGGAUAAAGCUUUCAAACAUCAAUUGUGCAAAAUUAACUAAAUGAUUGAGCGAAUAUAAUUUGCUUUAUUUUUAUUUUAUAUUUUUGUUAGAUCCAAAAUUAUUUUAUCACAUAAAGAUUUAUCAAACAAAUUAUGAACUUAUAGGCAUGCUUUUUAACACAAACAAGUUUGCAAUAAUUAUUUUUUUAAAAAAUUAACACAUAAUUCCGCCUCCCGAGGCGAUCCCCCAAAUUUCUUUAUAUAUAGGAGUUGCUUUAGAGUUAUACACAUAUUGUAAUAAAAAUAACAAAUAAAAAUAUACACAACAUUAAAAUAAGCAAAGCUUUGUCCGAAAUUUCUUCUAGGCCACUCUUCAUCAUCUUGAACUUUAAGUCUAAAACCUGCGAAAAUAAGUAAGGUAACACAUAUACAAUGGAAGAAUGAUUGUAAUGUAAAAUAUUCAUAAUAACUAAUUACUCUCAUAUAUACAUAUAUAAACAACACACAUAAGAAAUAAAAAGGACAAAAUAUAGACAUAGACAUAUCAACACACAUAGGGAGAAAAGAUAAGGAGUGUUUCCUUUUAUUCCCAACACACAACAAUAAUAAUAAAUGCCAAACAAAAAAUUAAAAAUAAUAGAGGGCUGACCAAUAGUAAAAUGCUAAUUAAGAAUACUAACCGGUUAAUCAGAAAAGAAAUAGUAGCAAUGAAAACAAAUUGAUCCAACUUUUAUUCGAACAAAAACAAAGUAGCAGAGUAGCAAAGAAGAGCACUUGAAUAUUAUACCGGAAUAUUAAUUUAUUUUUUAAGACUAGCAAGAGAGCAAUGCGAGAGUGAGGAGUGAUGAGAGAACCUGUGAUUUUAUAAGUAAAAAAUGACUUUAGUGUGAGUUGGGAGAAUGUGAGUUCUUCUCAAGAUGUGAGAGUGUGUGAUAAAAGAAUGAAAAGGGGGUCUUUUUAUAUAGUAGAAGAGGAGGGAACAAAUAAGAGAAAUAAAUAUUUAAAGGAAUCAAUUAUAAUACAAUUUUCUUUAUUUUAAAGGAGAUCCAAAAAUUAGAAAAUUCUAAGAAUAUUUCGUUACCAAAGAUAAACUUGUAAGAAUAAAAGUUGGGAAAAACAAUAAUAUUUUCCCUUAAAUAAAGAAAAGCUAAAAUUAAAUUAUUAUUAUGCUACCAAUUAUAAACAAAUAAGAAUAAAUUAGGAUGACCACAAUUAUUUUUUUCCUCAAGUAAUGAAGAGUCAAAAUUGACUUUUUAAAAUGAUUAUUAUUUUAUCAUAUAAAACAAGGAAAUCAGUCAAAAUUUCAAAUAAGAAAAGAGGGAUACUAUUUUCCUAAAUAAGAGAGCAUGGAAUCUUUUUUUAAGUGAAUAAAUAUUUUUUCCAAGAACAAAAAGGUAAGAAAUUCGCUAAUUUUACCAAAUGACUGAAAACUUAACUUAAGCAUAUUAUAACAUGCAUGAAAAGUAAUAGAAUAACAUACUUACAGUUAGUAACAUUCAUGAAAAUCAAAUAUAUCCAAAUAAACAUUGUGUCUUUAUCGAAUAAUCUACACUAUAAUUAAGCAAACCAAAUCUACAAAUUAAUAAUUAAGGAAAACAAAAUGCAAGGAUCGAAAUUAACAGGCUGAUUCCAAACCAACUUAGUGAACUAGACACUAGAAAAUUAACACAAAUACAAAAAUCAAAUAAUUAUCAACACCAAGAAUUUAAGUAUAUGAAUCAACGCAUAUUUCAAACAUCAUAAGUUAUAAUAAACAUAUUAGAAUAAUAGGAACAUAUGAUUAAACUAAAAAACUAAAAAAGAGUUGGAUAGACGAAGUAAUAAAUAAUUUAAAAAUACCAAAGACGAAUCUGUUGAGACCCGUCACAUGAUCCAAGGCCCGGAUAUCGCCGAAGCUUAUUGUUGGAGCCAUUGCCGGAGUUGUUGGAAGCUGCUGCUUUCGGCGGCUGCUUGUUGGUGGUGGCUCGUUGUCGGCUGUUGCUGGUUGAUGCAGUUGAAUGGGAGAGAGGAGAGGGUAGAAAAGAGGAAGAAGAGAGACGGCGGCUGCACCUGGAUCUUCGCCAGUUGCUGCUGCCCACCGGUGGUCGGACUGCCAGGCGGCUGCCACCAGCAGCCUUCGCCGCAAAACAGAGGGGGAAGAGAUAGGGAGAGGAGGAUCGACGGGGAAGAGGAACGAAGGAGAGGGGAAGAAAUGCGAGGGAGAGAGAGGGGCGGAGAGGAAGGCGAGGGGAGAGAGGAGGAUGGUGAGGAUCGAAGGGAGGCUCACCGGGAAAAAAUGGAGAGGGGGAAGGCGGUUGAAGAGGAAAGACGAUGAGUGAUAUUUUAGUAUUAAGUCUUUAAGGGUAUUAGAAAAUAGGAUAAAUAGGAGAUUUAAUCACAACCGUAAGAUUAAUUUAGAUAAGCGUCUAGGAUUUGAUCUAAGAUUUAUUUUAAAGAUGGAUGGAUGAGAUUAAAAGAUGAGGUCUUGAAAUUAGAUUGAAAAAGAUAUGGAAUGGCUAAAAAUGCAAUGAGAUUGGCUAGAAUUGAAAUGCGAGGGUGGCUGUGAUUGAAAUAAAAUUGGGAUUGGAGUGUAUUACCUUAACAUGGUCAAGUUGAAUUUUGACUAUUGUAAGUUGUUUACUUUCCUCUGGUUUCCUAGUAGUUUAUUAGCCUUGUAUUGUUUCAUAUUUCGAGUUAGAGAAUACCAUAUUCAUGUAGGGAAGAAUAUAUUGCGAAAA
Molecule: long non-coding RNA, 5884 nt
Organism: Solanum lycopersicum (tomato)
Lineage: Eukaryota; Viridiplantae; Streptophyta; Magnoliopsida; Solanales; Solanaceae
Source: RefSeq, a predicted model, not a curated record